This is a long non-coding RNA of Ochotona curzoniae (black-lipped pika), 599 nucleotides long. RefSeq lists it as uncharacterized. The transcript is spliced from 3 exons. NCBI's taxonomy places the organism in Eukaryota, Metazoa, Chordata, Mammalia, Lagomorpha, Ochotonidae. The record is from RefSeq and is a predicted model, not a curated record.
CUCUGGGCUCUGCGUGGCUCGAUCCCGCGGCCUGAGAGGAAGCGGGACGCGCGACGUCCACAUCCGUCGGCGGCAUUUCCGGCUCAGCAGCGCCUCGCCCGCCGGCGCCCCCUGUCGGCGCCCAGCGUCACAGCGCGGGGCCUGGGCCUCAGGUGUUCUUGAAGAGUUCGUUGGAAUCCCGUGUUCGGCAGCAGGGAAGCAGAGGAGGCGGCCGCGCAUCGUGCGUGUUACAACUCCACAGCUAUUGCAGCCGAGCUUGGAGAGCCGAAUGCUGUGAGGAACAACCUGCCUGUCACUGCCGUCCAGCCCUAGUCAGUUUCUCCUCCACGUGCUUUGAAUUUGAAAGCUGUGAUGCACAAGGCGCUGGUCUCACCCUCCUCUACAAGACACCUGACGGUCAGUGCUGAGCGCACGUGGCUAAAUGGCAGCACUCGAAGGCCUGCCGCAUUUACCGUCUCUCGCCCGUGGGGUCGGCGCAGCCACCCCAGGCAUCUGCCGAAUGAGAAACCAGGAGGACCCAUCAGCCCUGGACACUCUGGAAGUCAUGUCCCUCGUGAGUUUUAAAGUGAUGUAAAUAUUUGCUUUGCUCAUCCUGAAAC